GGGCCUGUAGCUUAGUGGCAGAGCACCCGGUUUGCAUCCGGGAAACAGGGGUUCGAUUCCCCUCAGGUCCA
This 71-nucleotide transfer RNA is filed under the name bacterium. RNAcentral describes it as "tRNA-Ala". It matches the Rfam family "tRNA". Rfam says of the family: Transfer RNA (tRNA) molecules are approximately 80 nucleotides in length. The record is from RNAcentral.